ACAUCCAGAGAAUUUAGCAGAGAUGCUUUAGUGCCUUCGGGAACUCUGAGACAGGUGCUGCUAUGGCUGUCGUCAGCUCGUGUUGUGAAAUGUUGGGUUAAGUCCCGCAACGAGCGCAACCCUUAUCCUUUGUUGCCAGCACGUAAUGGUGGGAACUCAAAGGAGACUGCCGGUGAUAAACCGGAGGAAGGUGGGGAUGACGUCAAGUCAUCAUGGCCCUUACGAGUAGGGCUACACACGUGCUACAAUGGCGCAUACAAAGAGAAGCGACCUCGCGAGAGCAAGCGGACCUCAUAAAGCGCGUCGUAGUCCGGAUUGGAGUCUGCAACUCGACUCCAUGAAGUCGGAAUCGCUAGUAAUCGUAAAUCAGAAUGUUACGGUGAAUACGUUCCCGGGCCUUGUACACACCGCCCGUCACACCAUGGGAGUGGGUUGCAAAAGAAGUAGAUAGCUUAACCUUCGGGAGGGCGUUUACCACUUUGUGAUUCAUGACUGGGGUGAAGUCGUAACAAGGUAGGCGUAGUGCU
RNAcentral lists this ribosomal RNA (527 nucleotides) under uncultured bacterium. RNAcentral's name for it is "bacterial SSU rRNA". It matches the Rfam family "Bacterial small subunit ribosomal RNA", at positions 984 to 1509 of the family's 1533-position model. The record is from RNAcentral.